This 435-nucleotide ribosomal RNA is filed under the name uncultured bacterium. Its description in RNAcentral is "partial 16S ribosomal RNA". It matches the Rfam family "Bacterial small subunit ribosomal RNA", at positions 28 to 507 of the family's 1533-position model. The record is from RNAcentral.
GAUGAACGCUGGCGGUAUGCUUAACACAUGCAAGUCGAACGGACUCUUCGGAGUUAGUGGCGGACGGGUGAGUCACGCGUGAGAAUCUGGACUUGGGUUCGGGACAACCACUGGAAACGGUGGCUAAUACCGGAUGUGCCGAGAGGUAAAAGAGAAAUUGCAUGAAGAUGAGCUCGCGUCUGAUUAGCUAGUUGGUGAGGUAAAGGCUCACCAAGGCAGCGAUCAGUAGCUGGUCUGAGAGGAUGACCAGCCACACUGGGACUGAGACACGGCCCAGACUCCUACUGGAGGCAGCAGUGGGGAAUGUUCCGCAAUGGGCGAGAGACUGACGGAGCAAUACCGCGUGAGGGAAGAAGGCUCUUGGGUUGUAAACCUCUUUACUUAGGGAAGAACAAAAUGACGGUACCUAAUGAGUCAGCAUCGGCUAACUCCGUG